AAAUUGAAGAGUUUGAUCAUGGCUCAGAUUGAACGCUGGCGGCAGGCCUAACACAUGCAAGUCGAACGGUAGCACAGAGAGCUUGCUCUCGGGUGACGAGUGGCGGACGGGUGAGUAAUGUCUGGGAAACUGCCUGAUGGAGGGGGAUAACUACUGGAAACGGUGGCUAAUACCGCAUAACGUCGCAAGACCAAAGAGGGGGACCUUCGGGCCUCUUGCCAUCAGAUGUGCCCAGAUGGGAUUAGCUAG
This 249-nucleotide ribosomal RNA is filed under the name Salmonella enterica. RNAcentral's name for it is "partial 16S ribosomal RNA". It matches the Rfam family "Bacterial small subunit ribosomal RNA", at positions 1 to 248 of the family's 1533-position model. The record is from RNAcentral. Lineage: Bacteria; Pseudomonadati; Pseudomonadota; Gammaproteobacteria; Enterobacterales; Enterobacteriaceae.